UACUGGACCUCCUAGCAACCCUAUUUCACCCACUUCAGCCCACUCCAAAACUGGUAUGCAGACAAGCUUUCAGUUCCGUGCAUCUGUAUCUCAUGGAUUUAAAUAACCUCUUAUCUUUUAUUUCUGUUCACAGUCUGGAGGUGGAAACAGAACAUUACAAUCCGAUGUGGAUUCAAGUAUCUGACUGUAGAUGCUGUUUAAGCCUUGGGCACUGCUUACUGAAGAGAUUUAUUCAGCUUUGGGAUCCAGCUACUGGAAAACUACUUUGUACUCAGUAUUUGCCACUUGUUCUGUACAUCAAGUUUCCACACACCCUUAAGCUUACAGAAGCACUGCAGAGCUGCUGAGCCCUGUGUUUGUAUUUUAGUCCAUUUUGAAUCUUACAUGCAGAUUUGCAGAAUGGAUUCUGCCGUAUUUCAUUAGGCUUUCGAGUACUUCUGCCAUAGCAACACAAAUCACCUAUAGAGAGUUUGUAUACAUUAAAUCUCUCUCUUAAACACUGGUAUUAUACACUCUGUUCCACACUGCUUCGUUUCCUUCCUGGCUUUGCAGACUGUUAGCAGCCAAGAAAUAGCGGCAUGUUGGUUGUAUCCCCCUCUUCUUUUAUCUGUCUCCUGACUCUGUCCCCCACCUCCAGUUAAAUCAUUGCUGUAUAACACUCCUUUCAAACGUCAGAAAAAGCAUGGCAAAAGACACACUAGCCUGUUCAGGUAUAAUGUCUACAUGUCUCUGUGUGGGGGCAUUCAAGGGAACAUCAACUUAACCCACACACAUUUUUUCUUCCUCCAUAUCUGUAGCCUCUAUAGACUAUUUGGAUCAGCUUAAUGGGUGGGGAACUCUUAGGAAGGGGUUGUGAUUCAAGAUUUGAGCUGUACAGGCAGGAGCUGCUCUUCCCGUGAAGGAUGAUAUGGCUCUCAACACCUUGGUUUAUGUAGACGAAUUUCAAUAUGCUUGUGCAGGAGAGACACUAGAAGGAUGAAUGCAUGUAAUGAUUCUAUGUAUUUGCAUUUAAAUUUGGAUUUCAUUUUAGGACUAUAAAGAUUAUGCUGGUCUGGUUGGAUCACUCAGUGGUUUAGCUAUCUGUCUGCAGAGCCAGAGGUUGGCAGUUUGAUUCUCCACUUUGCCUCCUGGGAGAAGAGCCAGCUUCUGUAGCUAUGGGCAAGCUGCACAAUCCCAUGGCAAACCCCCCCCCCCCCAAAGAAGGUAAUGGUAAACCACUUCUGAGUAUUCUCUGCCUCAAAAACCCUGGAAGGUUUUACCAUAAGUCAGAACUGACUUGACAGAACACAAUUACUAUUAUUAUAUAAAGGCUUAAUACUUGGAGCUAUUUCCUUUAUGUUGUGGCUC
RNAcentral lists this long non-coding RNA (1347 nucleotides) under Pogona vitticeps (central bearded dragon). RNAcentral's name for it is "lncRNA (ENSPVIG00000007001.1)". The record is from RNAcentral. Lineage: Eukaryota; Metazoa; Chordata; Lepidosauria; Squamata; Agamidae.